AGAGCACUGUUUCGGCAAGGGGGUCAUCCCGACUUACCAACCCGAUGCAAACUGCGAAUACCGGAGAAUGUUAUCACGGGAGACACACGGCGGGUGCUAACGUCCGUCGUGAAGAGGGAAACAACCCAGACCGCCAGCUAAGGUCCCAAAGUCAUGGUUAAGUGGGAAACGAUGUGGGAAGGCCCAGACAGCCAGGAUGUUGGCUUAGAAGCAGCCAUCAUUUAAAGAAAGCGUAAUAGCUCACUGGUCGAGUCGGCCUGCGCGGAAGAUGUAACGGGGCUAAACCAUGCACCGAAGCUGCGGCAGCGACACUAUGUGUUGUUGGGUAGGGGAGCGUUCUGUAAGCCUGUGAAGGUGUGCUGUGAGGCAUGCUGGAGGUAUCAGAAGUGCGAAUGCUGACAUAAGUAACGAUAAAGCGGGUGAAAAGCCCGCUCGCCGGAAGACCAAGGGUUCCUGUCCAACGUUAAUCGGGGCAGGGUGAGUCGACCCCUAAGGCGAGGCCGAAAGGCGUAGUCGAUGGGAAACAGGUUAAUAUUCCUGUACUUGGUGUUACUGCGAAGGGGGGACGGAGAAGGCUAUGUUGGCCGGGCGACGGUUGUCCCGGUUUAAGCGUGUAGGCUGGUUUUCCAGGCAAAUCCGGAAAAUCAAGGCUGAGGCGUGAUGACGAGGCACUACGGUGCUGAAGCAACAAAUGCCCUGCUUCCAGGAAAAGCCUCUAAGCAUCAGGUAACAUCAAAUCGUACCCCAAACCGACACAGGUGGUCAGGUAGAGAAUACCAAGGCGCUUGAGAGAACUCGGGUGAAGGAACUAGGCAAAAUGGUGCCGUAACUUCGGGAGAAGGCACGCUGAUAUGUAGGUGAAGUCCCUCGCGGAUGGAGCUGAAAUCAGUCGAAGAUACCAGCUGGCUGCAACUGUUUAUUAAAAACACAGCACUGUGCAAACACGAAAGUGGACGUAUACGGUGUGACGCCUGCCCGGUGCCGGAAGGUUAAUUGAUGGGGUCAGCGCAAGCGAAGCUCUUGAUCGAAGCCCCGGUAAACGGCGGCCGUAACUAUAACGGUCCUAAGGUAGCGAAAUUCCUUGUCGGGUAAGUUCCGACCUGCACGAAUGGCGUAAUGAUGGCCAGGCUGUCUCCACCCGAGACUCAGUGAAAUUGAACUCGCUGUGAAGAUGCAGUGUACCCGCGGCAAGACGGAAAGACCCCGUGAACCUUUACUAUAGCUUGACACUGAACAUUGAGCCUUGAUGUGUAGGAUAGGUGGGAGGCUUAGAAGUGUGGACGCCAGUCUGCAUGGAGCCGACCUUGAAAUACCACCCUUUAAUGUUUGAUGUUCUAACGUUGACCCGUAAUCCGGGUUGCGGACAGUGUCUGGUGGGUAGUUUGACUGGGGCGGUCUCCUCCUAAAGAGUAACGGAGGAGCACGAAGGUUGGCUAAUCCUGGUCGGACAUCAGGAGGUUAGUGCAAUGGCAUAAGCCAGCUUGACUGCGAGCGUGACGGCGCGAGCAGGUGCGAAAGCAGGUCAUAGUGAUCCGGUGGUUCUGAAUGGAAGGGCCAUCGCUCAACGGAUAAAAGGUACUCCGGGGAUAACAGGCUGAUACCGCCCAAGAGUUCAUAUCGACGGCGGUGUUUGGCACCUCGAUGUCGGCUCAUCACAUCCUGGGGCUGAAGUAGGUCCCAAGGGUAUGGCUGUUCGCCAUUUAAAGUGGUACGCGAGCUGGGUUUAGAACGUCGUGAGACAGUUCGGUCCCUAUCUGCCGUGGGCGCUGGAGAACUGAGGGGGGCUGCUCCUAGUACGAGAGGACCGGAGUGGACGCAUCACUGGUGUUCGGGUUGUCAUGCCAAUGGCACUGCCCGGUAGCUAAAUGCGGAAGAGAUAAGUGCUGAAAGCAUCUAAGCACGAAACUUGCC
This 1911-nucleotide ribosomal RNA is filed under the name Escherichia coli. RNAcentral describes it as "partial 23S ribosomal RNA". It matches the Rfam family "Bacterial large subunit ribosomal RNA", at positions 904 to 2798 of the family's 2925-position model. The record is from RNAcentral. Lineage: Bacteria; Pseudomonadati; Pseudomonadota; Gammaproteobacteria; Enterobacterales; Enterobacteriaceae.